UACAGAGGCCUCAAGCGUUGUUCGGAUUCAUUGGGCGUAAAGGGCGCGUAGGUGGCGGGACAAGCGUGCGGUGAAAGCUCGGGGCUCAACCCCGAGUCGGCCGUGCGGACUGUCUUGCUUGAGCACUGUAGAGGCAGGCGGAAUUCCGGGUGUAGCGGUGGAAUGCGUAGAGAUCCGGAAGAACACCGGUGGCGAAGGCGGCCUGCUGGGCAGUUGCUGACACUGAGGCGCGACAGCGUGGGGAGCAAACAGG
This 253-nucleotide ribosomal RNA is filed under the name uncultured bacterium. RNAcentral describes it as "partial 16S ribosomal RNA". It matches the Rfam family "Bacterial small subunit ribosomal RNA", at positions 524 to 776 of the family's 1533-position model. The record is from RNAcentral.